AUGGUGUCCUUAAAGUCUGUUUGUGUCCCAGUUCAAGCCGACUCCCCACCGACGGGGCCUGGGACGGUGCCUGCCACGGACAGCGGCUCCCUGGGUGGGUCCGGCAUAGCAGUCAUAGCGAUCGCUGCCCCAGUGGUGCUAAUUGCCAUAGCAGUUGCUGUGGCUUGGUGGUGGUGCAGCAGGACGAAGAGGACAGGGUCCCAUCAGACGCAAGUGACUUCCGUGGACAAAUCAGAACCCAAAGGUCCCGGCUGUACGAUUUACAGUGUGAUUGAACGUUCUCCAGCGCAAACUCCAUUGCGGAGCCGGACAAAUGCCAAUACGAAGCAGUUGCAGACAGUCUACAGCACGGUGAAUCCCCUGCCUGCGAGACAGAAUCUCCUGCAAACAGAUGAUGAGAAGAUGCGGCAGGAGGCUCAGGGAGACGCCGAGAAAACCAUCUACUCCGAGGUCACCAAGCUCCAAGAGGAUCAGCAGAGGCACCCCCAAACUGUCUACGAUACUGUGAAGAAUCCAAGACCGUGAUAAACUCCCACAGAACUCUCUAGCAGGACUGGCCAAAUCCUUUGCCUCGGAUGUUGCUGAACUACAGCUUCCAUCAAGCUUUGCCCUUGGCCACACUGCCUAGGUCUCACGGGAGCCGAACUUCAGCAGCAUCUGAGGAGGUGGAAUUUGUCUGCCAGCAGCUUCUAAGUGGAGAAGGCAAAUGCGGAGGAAAAGCAUGCAACCUGAGGCCUUUCCAACGUCUUGUUGGGACCAAGGAGAACUGGAACCACUUGGACCUGGCGCCGUUGCUCAGCAAGUCGGAGGAGGCCCUUUCCGACCUGCAGGCUCCCACUGGGCCAGGAAGAAANGCUGCCCCUUCCCUGCUUUGGCAGAGGGCCUUCUCCAAGUCGGGGAAGGAGCUGAUCCUGUAACGGCCCCUGUUCGCUCUUCAGCACUCAGCCCCACUGGUCUGNCUUUAUUUUAUUUUAUUAAGAAUUUAUAUCUUGCCCUCAUCUGAAGACCCCAGGGCUGGGCCACAACAAUAAAAAGAUAAAAUAUAUAAGAUAAUC
Long non-coding RNA from Salvator merianae (Argentine black and white tegu), 1055 nucleotides. Lineage: Eukaryota; Metazoa; Chordata; Lepidosauria; Squamata; Teiidae. The record is from Ensembl.